UAGUGGCGAACGGGUGAGUAACACGUAAGUAACCUACCUUUAAGACGAGGAUAACAAUCGGAAACGGUUGCUAAGACUGGAUAGGAAACAGAAAGGCAUCUUUUUGUUUUUAAAAGACCUUCUUCGGAGGGUAUGCUUAAAGAGGGGCUUGCGCCACAUUAGUUAGUUGGUGAGGUAAAGGCUUACCAAGAUUAUGAUGUGUAGCUGGACUGAGAGGUUGAACAGCCACAUUGGGACUGAGACACGGCCCAAACUCCUACGGGAGGCAGCAGUAGGGAAUUUUCGGCAAUGGAGGAAACUCUGACCGAGCGACGCCGCGUGAACGAUGAAGUAUUUCGGUAUGUAAAGUUCUUUUAUUGAAGAAGAAAAAAUAGUGGAAAAACUAUCUUGACGUUAUUCAAUGAAUAAGCCCCGGCUAACUAUGUGCCAGCAGCCGCGGUAAGACAUAGGGGGCGAGCGUUAUCCGGAAUUAUUGGGCGUAAAGGGUGCGUAGGCGGUUAGAUAAGUCUAUAAUUUAAUUUCAGUGCUUAACGCUGUCUUGUUAUAGAAACUGUCUUGACUAGAGUGAGAUAGAGGCAAGCGGAAUUCCAUGUGUAGCGGUAAAAUGUGUAAAUAUAUGGAGGAACACCAGAAGCGUAGGCGGCUUGCUGGGUCUUUACUGACGCUGAGGCACGAAAGCGUGGGGAGCAAACAGGAUUAGAUACCCUGGUAGUCCACGCUGUAAACGAUGAGUACUAAGUGUCGGGGAAACUCGGUACUGAAGUUAACACAUUAAGUACUCCGCCUGAGUAGUACGUACGCAAGUAUGAAACUUAAAGGAAUUGACGGGACUCCGCACAAGCGGUGGAUCAUGUUGUUUAAUUCGAAGAUACACGAAAAACCUUACCAGGUCUUGACAUACUCUGCAAAGCUAUAGAAAUAUAGUGGAGGUUAUCAGGGAUACAGGUGGUGCAUGGUUGUCGUCAGUUCGUGUCGUGAGAUGUUAGGUUAAGUCCUAAAACGAACGCAACCCCUGUCGUUAGUUGCCAGCACGUAAUGGUGGGGACUUUAGCGAGACUGCCAAUUAAACAUUGGAGGAAGGUGGGGAUAACGUCAAAUCAUCAUGCCCCUUAUGAUCUGGGCUACAAACGUGAUACAAUGGCUAUUACAAAGAGUAGCUGAAACGCGAGUUUUUAGCCAAUCUCAAAAAGGUAGUCUCAGUACGGAUUGAAGUCUGCAACUCGACUUCAUGAAGCUGGAAUCGCUAGUAAUCGCGAAUCAGCAUGUCGCGGUGAAUACGUUCUCGGGGUUUGUACACACCGCCCGUCAAACCACGAAAGUUAGCAAUACCCGAAAGCAGUGGCUUAACUUCGCAAGAAGAGGGAGCUGUCUAAGGUAGGGUUGAUGAUUGGGGUUAAGUCGUAACAAGGUAUCCUUACCGGAAGGUGAGGAUGGAUCACCUCCUUU
This 1446-nucleotide ribosomal RNA is filed under the name Candidatus Phytoplasma ulmi. RNAcentral describes it as "16S ribosomal RNA". It matches the Rfam family "Bacterial small subunit ribosomal RNA". Lineage: Bacteria; Bacillati; Mycoplasmatota; Mollicutes; Acholeplasmatales; Acholeplasmataceae. The record is from RNAcentral.